Molecule: long non-coding RNA, 811 nt
Organism: Rosa chinensis
Lineage: Eukaryota; Viridiplantae; Streptophyta; Magnoliopsida; Rosales; Rosaceae
Exons: 3
Source: RefSeq, a predicted model, not a curated record
AUCAAUUGGCUUUAAGUUCAUAGUUGUCUUAUGAACAUCACCAUUCUUGGCACUUGAUUGGGAUUUUACUUUGCAAUUUUCUGGUUGUUCUCAAUUUUUAUUUGUUUAAUUCUAAAUUUACCUGGCGUGACUAUAUAUCCAGGUAUACUCUUAUCAGAUCUAGAUUCCAAGGGAUAUUUUGACUUAUUAAUUAAGGUAUGCUAUCAAGGCGUGACUAUACUUCAUGUUUCUUUCCUUUUAUUGGAACUGUAUGUUGGUGUGUCCAGAAGGGAAAAUGAGCUAGCAUUUUGCAAGCUUAAAACCAUGAGAUGCAGUUGAAGUGAAGGGGUAACCUAUAUUUACCAGUGGCAAUGAUAGGUAGAGGUUACACUCUGAGUUGUCUUAUAAUGAGGUGUAUCUUUUCUUGCAGACCCAUUGAAAAGCUGAGAUAUGUUCCCAACAUGAAGAAGCAUAUUAGCAUGAUUGCAGGUGGUUCUUGUAUUACUUCAAUUCUUCAGGUCAUUGACGCUAUACUUCAAAAUCUUGUUGAGACAACCAAGGGCCAGCGAUAAGUGUCAGAAGGAGAAGAGAAAGCAUGCACUUAUGCAGCAUUUUCAAAGGAGCAAGCUAGUGCGCUAGUGUUGCCCACUGCCACAUUUAUCAAUUCGUCUUGAGAAAUGCAUUAGUUUCAUCAUCAACUUUUGAUGUUCAAGUAGAUAGGGCAUGUACUAGGAUGCUUUUCUUAUUUUAAUGUUGGCUUGGAUGGUUGGGAAAUGCUCUCUUUUUACAUUUGACGUUUAAAGUAUGAGUUGGAUUACUCAUUUGAUGGUUU